UUUACAUAUACUAAAAUAUACUAAAACUGGAACCUUACAGAGAAGAUUAGCAUGGCCCCUGUGUGAGGAAAACACACAAAUUUGUGCUAUGUUCCAUAUUAAA
Molecule: small nuclear RNA, 103 nt
Organism: Oryctolagus cuniculus (rabbit)
Lineage: Eukaryota; Metazoa; Chordata; Mammalia; Lagomorpha; Leporidae
Source: Ensembl